RNAcentral lists this unclassified non-coding RNA (247 nucleotides) under Bombyx mandarina (wild silkworm). RNAcentral describes it as "uncharacterized LOC114249489, transcript variant X1". Lineage: Eukaryota; Metazoa; Arthropoda; Insecta; Lepidoptera; Bombycidae. The record is from RNAcentral.
GCUGUCUGCUGCCGCUAGGAAAAUCGACGCAUUACUGGCUGAGUCGCGGGAACUGCACGAGGAGUUAGCGGGGAUCCAUGAAGACCUGCAGGUGCUGGCCAGGCGCGUGGCACGCCGCGACGCGCUGUGAUGCGUGCAAUCAGCGCGUGCGUGCCGCUGCGUGGCGGCUGCCCGCGCCUUGAACGACGAGUCCAGAGCUCUACGGUACCUGGACGAUGUGGUCGCACUCCUCAAGGGUGAUGUAGCC